RNAcentral lists this ribosomal RNA (32 nucleotides) under Coprinus comatus. RNAcentral's name for it is "partial 18S ribosomal RNA". The record is from RNAcentral. Lineage: Eukaryota; Fungi; Basidiomycota; Agaricomycetes; Agaricales; Agaricaceae. RNAcentral also lists the same sequence under 1 other name.
UCCGUAGGGUGAACCUGCGGAAGGAUCAUUAU